UACGUAGGGGGCUAGCGUUGUCCGGAAUCAUUGGGCGUAAAGAGCGUGUAGGCGGCCCGGUAAGUCCGCUGUAAAAGUCAAAGGCUCAACCUUUGAAUGUCAGUGGAUACUGCCGGGCUAGAGUCCGGAAGAGGCGAGUGGAACUCCUGGUGUAGCGGUGGAAUGCGCAGAUAUCAGGAAGAACACCAACGGCGAAGGCAGCUCGCUGGGACGGUACUGACGCUGAGAUGCGAAAGCGUGGGGAGCGAACAGG
This 253-nucleotide ribosomal RNA is filed under the name uncultured bacterium. RNAcentral's name for it is "partial 16S ribosomal RNA". It matches the Rfam family "Bacterial small subunit ribosomal RNA", at positions 524 to 776 of the family's 1533-position model. The record is from RNAcentral.